GUGCUGGCUUUGGCAGCACAUAUACUAAAAUUAGAACAAUACGGAGAUUAGCAUGGCCCUUGUGCAAGGAUGACAUGCAAAUUCAUGAAGCGUUCCAUAUUUUU
Small nuclear RNA from Manis javanica (Malayan pangolin), 104 nucleotides. The record is from RefSeq and is a predicted model, not a curated record. NCBI's taxonomy places the organism in Eukaryota, Metazoa, Chordata, Mammalia, Pholidota, Manidae.